RNAcentral lists this ribosomal RNA (553 nucleotides) under uncultured archaeon. Its description in RNAcentral is "bacterial SSU rRNA". It matches the Rfam family "Archaeal small subunit ribosomal RNA", at positions 326 to 879 of the family's 1478-position model. The record is from RNAcentral.
CGGGGUGCAGCAGGCGCGAAAACUUUACAAUGCUGGCAACAGCGAUAAGGGGACCUCGAGUGCCAGGAUACAAUCUUGGCUGUCGCGAUGCCUAAAAAGCAUCGCAUAGCAAGGGCCGGGCAAGACCGGUGCCAGCCGCCGCGGUAACACCGGCGGCUCGAGUGGUAACCGCUAUUAUUGGGUCUAAAGGGUCUGUAGCCGGCCGGAUAAGUCUUUUGGGAAAUCCAGCUGCUCAACAGUUGGGCUUUCAGAAGAUACUGUUCGGCUCGAGACCGGGAGAGGUGAGAGGUACUUCAGGGGUAGGGGUGAAAUCUUGUAAUCCUUGAAGGACCACCAGUGGCGAAGGCGUCUCACCAGAACGGAUCUGACGGCAAGGGACGAAAGCUAGGGGCACGAACCGGAUUAGAUACCCGGGUAGUCCUAGCCGUAAACGAUACUCGCUAGGUGUCAGCCACGGUGCGACCGUGGUUGGUGCCGUAGGGAAGCCGUGAAGCGAGCCACCUGGGAAGUACGGCCGCAAGGCUGAAACUUAAAGGAAUUGGCGGGGGAGCAC